RNAcentral lists this transfer RNA (104 nucleotides) under Ephemerocybe angulata. RNAcentral's name for it is "Coprinellus angulatus tRNA". It matches the Rfam family "tRNA". From Rfam's summary of the family: Transfer RNA (tRNA) molecules are approximately 80 nucleotides in length. Their secondary structure includes four short double-helical elements and three loops (D, anti-codon, and T loops). Lineage: Eukaryota; Fungi; Basidiomycota; Agaricomycetes; Agaricales; Psathyrellaceae. The record is from Rfam by way of RNAcentral.
GGCAAUAUGGCCGAGCGGUCUAAGGCGCUAGAAUCAGGUCAUGUGCUCAGGCACUGAUUCCAAUCUAGUCCGAAAGGGCGUGGGUUCGAAUCCCACUGUUGUCA